GAUGAACGCUAGCGAUAGGCUUAACACAUGCAAGUCGAGGGGCAGCAUGGUCUUAGCUUGCUAAGACUGAUGGCGGCCGGCGCACGGGUGCGUAACGCGUAUGCAACUUGCCUCACAGAGGGGGAUAACCCGUCGAAAGACGGACUAAUACCGCGUACACUCCAUCUUGGGCAUCCAAGGUAGAGGAAAUGAAAUUCGCUGUGAGAUAGGCAUGCGUCCCAUUAGCUAGUUGGUGAGGUAACGGCUCACCAAGGCGACGAUGGGUAGGGGAACUGAGAGGUUGAACCCCCACACUGGUACUGAGACACGGACCAGACUACUACGGGAGGCAGCAGUGAGGAAUAUUGGUCAAUGGGCGAGAGCCUGAACCAGCCAAGUCGCGUGAAGGAUGACUGUCUUAUGGAUUGUAAACUUCUUUUAUACGGGAAUAACAAGAGUCACGUGUGACUCCCUGCAUGUACCGUAUGAAUAAGCAUCGGCUAACUCCGUG
Molecule: ribosomal RNA, 490 nt
Filed under: uncultured bacterium
Lineage: Bacteria
Description: partial 16S ribosomal RNA
Rfam family: Bacterial small subunit ribosomal RNA
Source: RNAcentral